RNAcentral lists this unclassified non-coding RNA (1514 nucleotides) under Hevea brasiliensis (rubber tree). The record is from RNAcentral. Lineage: Eukaryota; Viridiplantae; Streptophyta; Magnoliopsida; Malpighiales; Euphorbiaceae.
CACUCGUUCAUUUUUCAUUGGCUUGUCAUUCUAUAUAGAUUGGCUACAUGGAAUCACAGGUUUAAAAUAUAAUUUCUCAAGAAGAGAAAUCUAUACUCUCAAAAGUACAAAAUUUGCUACAUGAGACAUCUUUUUAAGGAUAUAUGGAAAGCAUGUUCCAUCUAUCAAUUUUCACAAGUGCCAUUCUAUAUAUAUUGCCAUCUAGCAAUCUGUACACUCAAAAUGAUAUACUAGUUCAUUUUUCACAUGUGCCAUCUAGCAAUUUUCAUCAUCAGUCAGCCGUGUGUGAGAGACAAUAAUGAGUACUCAACCAUAUGUGCAACUGCAGUUCAGAAGCAACACUAUAAAAAGCACCAUCCAAGUACAAGUACUCAAAUUAUGUCAAUCUACUUUCUUUUAACCCAUUUUGUAUUUUUCAAAUACAUGAUAUUUAUAGUGCUUACAAAUUCAUUCCUAAUAACCAAAAAGCUCCUUUAGUCACUUUCUUUGCCAAUGCUAAAAUUCCAAAAAUCAAUUAUGUUGGAAUUUUUCAAGUAAUGGCCUUUAGUAGGCUGCACAAUAUUUCCAAGAAGAGUGAAACAGAAAAUAAUACUGUUCAUAUCCUGCUACUCCCUCGACGACCACGACCAGACAGCCUUGGUAGUUUUCCUCUUGGCAGUGAAACAGGCUUCAAUUUUGAUUCUUUUCUCACAAAAACUCUAUGCACCCGUUUCUUUUUCUCCUCCUCCGCCUUCAAUUUAGAGAGACUGGGCCGGUAUACAAUCACUGUCCGACCGAUUUGACCAACCACCACUGACCCAGUUGCUUCCUCCAACUGCUGAACCACAUCCUCCAGCUCCCCUGGACAUGUCCUAUGUAUUUUGAUCUUCAAUAGCUCGUUGGCUUCAAGUGUCUCAAUAAAAGAAGUGGCAACAUUUUCAGUAACACCAGACUUGCCCACUAACUGGCACUUGAGCUUCUUACCCAAUCCAUGCGCAUAAGAAGCUAACUCUUUCUUUUCCUUUACUGUCAAAUUCGGUACUUUUGAACUAUUUCUCUUCGACCCUUCUUUACAGGAACCAUCACCAGCGUCAACAGAAAUAGCACUGACCUCCAAUUCUAAGUUUUCACUUCCACUAUCAAUAUCUUCCUCCUCAUCAUCAUAUUCAAUUUCCCCAUCAUUAUCUUGUUCUUGAUCUAUUUCUUCCUCUAAAGAAAGGGAAGGAUUAAAGGCAUUAGGUGGGGCAGAGAGAGAAGUGGAUAGAGAGUGCGAAAAGAGGAAAGUAUCAGAAGUAAUGGGCGGUGAAUGCAGAAAAGAGAAGAGGGUGGUGGACGAACUAAUUUGAAGUUGAGUAUUUUGGCACUUGAAGAGAGUAGCUUUUCUGGUGAUGCUAGCAGCGGUGGAGGUGGAAAGAGGUCUGAAGAAGAAGGAAAGUAAUGGUGGUUGUGGUGGGGGUGGGCGAAAGACGCAGUGGAGGACAUGGGUUGUAGAUGAGGUGGAGGAUGAUGCUACCGCCAUUAUCGUCGCUGCCCAG